UUUUUGCAGGAUCCCGCAUG
This 20-nucleotide microRNA is filed under the name Spodoptera frugiperda (fall armyworm). Its description in RNAcentral is "sfr-miR-10469-5p". Lineage: Eukaryota; Metazoa; Arthropoda; Insecta; Lepidoptera; Noctuidae. The record is from miRBase by way of RNAcentral.